UACGUAGGGUGCAAGCGUUGUCCGGAAUUAUUGGGCGUAAAGAGCUCGUAGGCGGUGUGUCGCGUCGGCCGUGAAAACCUGUGGCUUAACUAUGGGCUUGCGGUCGAUACGGGCAUCACUGGAGUUCGGCAGGGGAGACUGGAAUUCCUGGUGUAGCGGUGAAAUGCGCAGAUAUCCGGAGGAACACCGGUGGCGAAGGCGGCUUCCUGGACCGACACUGACGCUGAGGCGCGAAAGCUAGGGGAGCAAACGGG
This 254-nucleotide ribosomal RNA is filed under the name uncultured bacterium. RNAcentral's name for it is "partial 16S ribosomal RNA". It matches the Rfam family "Bacterial small subunit ribosomal RNA", at positions 524 to 776 of the family's 1533-position model. The record is from RNAcentral.